RNAcentral lists this long non-coding RNA (378 nucleotides) under Mus spicilegus (steppe mouse). RNAcentral describes it as "lncRNA (ENSMSIG00000005502.1)". Lineage: Eukaryota; Metazoa; Chordata; Mammalia; Rodentia; Muridae. The record is from RNAcentral.
AAAAGGAUCCCCGCCAGUACAUGAAAAUAAGCCUGCCUGCUCUCUGCCUUUCACAUUUUUGUCCGUUGGAUUAUUGUUUGCGCAUCUUUGCAGUUGGGUUAGGGGAGAAAUGCAGGAAAACUAGUGAACUGAGUCAUCUCCUAGCAGGAUAGGAUUACACCAGGUGUUGACCAUUCUUUGAGAAUAUUGAUCAAGAACCCAUUGAUAAACGGGUUGGUCCCUUGUGAGGAUGGAACAAUGAAGAAAACAGAGAAAAGUGUCUGCCAGAUGGCUCAGCAGAUGACACUUCCUUGCUGGUGAGUGGAGUUCAAUCCCAGGGUCUCACAAGGUGGUGGAAAAAAAAAUCGACUUUUGCAUGUAGCCUUCUGUUUUUCGAAU